GCUGGGCGUGGUGGUGCACGCCUGUAAUCCCAGCUACUCGGGAGGCUGAGGUGGGAGAAUCACUUGAACCCAGGAGGCAAAGGUUGCAGUGAGCAAAGAUUGAGCCACUGAACUCCAGCCUGGGUGACAGAGUGAGAUCCUGUCUCAA
Molecule: unclassified non-coding RNA, 148 nt
Organism: Pongo abelii (Sumatran orangutan)
Lineage: Eukaryota; Metazoa; Chordata; Mammalia; Primates; Hominidae
Rfam family: Metazoan signal recognition particle RNA
About the family: The signal recognition particle (SRP) is a universally conserved ribonucleoprotein. It is involved in the co-translational targeting of proteins to membranes.
Source: Ensembl